GAAAACUGGACAUUUUGAGUAGUAUAAACGUGGCUAUUUUAGAAAUAAUUUUCCUCCCUCCUUAGGUUUUGUUUCCACUUGUUGCAUGUUGCUGUUGUUUGCUCAUUAGUGACUUUUCUAAAGUAUUUUGAAAAGUCUGUGUUCUUGAUCAUGUGGGUCCAUUGAAUUCUGUAUUCUGUUAAUUUCAUAGUCAGCUAGUGUUCUGAAAGUUCCCUUAAGUGCAUAGAGCCAAUAAAAGAAAAAGAAAAGAAACACAGAAAAAGAAAAGAGGAAAAAAGGAGGGAAAGAGAUUUAAAAAAAUAAUGUCGGUUGGGCAUGGUGGCUCAUGCCUGUAAUCCCAGCACUUUUGGGAGGCCGAGGCAGGCAAAUCACUUAAGGUUGACCAUCCUGGCCAACACGGAGAAACCUUGUCUCUACUGAAAAUAUAAAAUUAGCCGGGCAUGGUGGCACAUGCCUGUAAUCCCAGCUACUCGGGAGGCUGAGAGGUAGGAGAAUCACUUGAACUCGGGAGGUGGAGGUUGCAGUGAACUGAGAUCACACCACUGCACUCCAGCCUGGGCAACAAGAAUGAAACUCCAUCUCAAAAAAAAAUAAUAAUAAUAAUGCCUUUGCCGAUUUGCUCUGUGUUUGGGCCCUCAUUCAAUGCCUAGUCAGGCCAUUUACAACUCUCUCUUAACUUUCACUACCUGCUUGUGUACUGACUGAAGGCCACCUAUAGGUGAAAGCUUAACAUCAUCUCAGAUCUUUUUGGACCAUGAAUCCUACCCUGGGUAUGCACAUGAUCUUCUUAAUUUCCCAGUAGAUGCAAGAGUUUUAGUGUUUUAAAAGUCCUUAUUCCCUCAUCUAUCUUCUUUUCUGACCUUUUUCAGUCUGCUUAUUGUUCAUCUGAACUGACAUCCUUUGCCCCAAGCGGCUGUGGCAAAAACUUUUACCUUUAAAUGCUUUCACCACAAGCCACUUGGGAAGCUGCCCCAGACCUGGGACUGCUCUGACCCUGAUGAAACAAAGACAAGACCUUGUACAGCCAGGCAGCCAUAAGACAAGUCCAUACCCAAACCACAGUUCUUUCAGAAUAAGGUCUAUAUUGGAUUCUCUGGCCCUAGUAACCAGCAUGAGUCUGGGCUUGCCAUCUUCAUGGCCACUUGUCUUAGUUUGCUAGGGCUGCCAUAACAAAAUAUGAGAGACUGAGUGGCUUAAACAAGAGAAAUUUAUUUUUUCACAAUUCUGAAGACCAGAAGUCCAUUACUCUGAAAUCUCUCUCCUUGGCUUGCAGAUACUGCCUUCUUGCCGUGUCCUCACACAGCCUUUUCUCUGUGUACACAUCCCUGGUGUUUUUUAAGCCUGUCCAAAUUUUCUGUUCUUCUGAGGACACCAAUCAGAUUGGAUUAGCGACCACCCAUAUGAUCAUUUUACCUUAAGUACCUCUUCAAAGGUAUCAGAGUAGUAUAUUUGCUACAGUUGAUGAACCUGCAUACAACAUCAUCACUUGAGGUCUGCAGUUUACAUUAGAGUUCAUCGUUAGUGUUAUAUAUUCUAGGGUUUGUUUUGUUUUGAGACAGAACAGAGUCUUGCUGUGUUACCCAGGCUGGAGCGCAGUGGUACAAUCUCAUUGCUACCUCUGCUUCCCAGAUUCAAGCAAUUCUCAUACCUCAGCCUCCUAAGUAGCUGGAACUACAGGCGCACACCACCAUGCCCAGCUAAUUUUCGUAUUUUUAGUGGAGAUGGGGUUUCACCAUGUUGGCCAGGCAGGUCUUGAACUCCUUGCCUCAAGUGAUCUGCCCGCCUCAGCCUCCCCCAGUGUUGGGAUAACAGGCAUGAGUCACCAUGCCUGGCCUUAUUCUAUGGGUUUUGAAAUGUAUAAUGACAUGUAUCCAUCGUUGUAGUAUUAGAUAGAAUAGCUUCAUUACCCUAAAAGUCUUCUUUGCACUGGGUUGAGUUUUAAAAGCUCUUUGAUUAUUUUAUGACAGUUCCUUAUUAGAUAUAUCUUUUGCAAGUAUUUUUAUCAGUCUGUGGUUAUCUUGUCUUUUACAGAGCAGUAAUUUUUAAUUUUAAUAAAAUCCAAUUUGUCAAUUACUUAUCUCAUAUGACUCUGGUGUUACAUCUAAAAUGUUACCACCAUACUCAAGGUCACCUAGGUUUUCUCUAGGAAUUUUAUGGUUUUGCAUUUUACAUUUGGUGUAUGACCCAUUUGAAGUUAAUUUUUGUGAGGUUGUAAGGUCUGUGCCUAGAUUCAUUUUUUUUUUUUUUGGCAUGUUACUUCAGUAUUCAUAAGAAACAUUGUUCUGUAAUCUUCUUUCUUAUAGUAUCUUAGUCUUGCUUUAGUUUUUGGGCAAUGCUGGCCUCACUGAAUAAAUUCAAAGUGUUCCCUCCUCUUCAAUUAUUUGGAAAAGUUUGAGAAAGACUAUUGUUAACUGUUUUCUAAAUUUUUGGUGGAAUUUACCAGUGAACCAACUGGUCCUAGGCUUUUCUCCAGUAGGUGGUUUUGAUUAUGCUUUCAAUCUCUUUACAAGUUACACAUCUAUACAGACUUUUAUAAUUCAGUCUUGGUAGGUUGUGCGUAUUUAGGAAUCUGACCACUUCAUCUAAGUUAUCCAAUUAGUUGGCAUGCAAUUAUUCGUAGUUCUCUGAAUAAUCAUUUUUAUUUCCACAAAAUUGGUAAUAUCCCAGUUUCCAUUUUUUAUUUCAUUGAAUCUUCUUUUUUCUUAGCUAAUCUAGCUAAAUGUUUGCCAAUUUUGUUGAUCUUUUGGAAGAACCAACUUUUGAUUUAUUAAUUUUCUCUACUCUUUUUCUGUUCUUUAUAUUAUUUAUUUCCACACUAAUCUUUACUAUUUUCUUCCUUCUGUUGGCCUUUAAUUUUUUUUUUUUAAUUUUUAAGGUGUAAAUUUAGGUUGAGAAAUUUUUUAAAUGAAAGCAUUUAGAGCUAUAAAUUUUCCUUCUGGUGUUCCUUUCACUACCUGCCAUAAAUUUUGAUAUGUUGAGUUUUUGUUUGUCUUGGAGUAUUUUCUAAUUUGUCUUCUAAUUUCUUCCUUGACCUAUUGGUUAUUUAAAUGUAUUUAAUUUUUGCAUAUUGUGGAUUUCCCAGUUUUCCUUCUGUUAUUGAUUUCUAGUUUUAUUCCAUUGUGAUCACAGAAGAUAUUUUGUAUAAUCGCAGUCUAUUAACAUUUAUUAAGUCUUGUGGCCUAACAGAGGAUCUAUGUUGGAGAAUGUUCCAAGUGCAAUUGAGAAUACUAUUCUGGUGCUAUUAGGUGAAGUAUUCUCUAUAUGUCUGUUAAGUCCAAUUCAUCUAUAGUGUUGACGUUUCCUGUUCCUUACUGAUUUUCUGACUUAUUAUUCUAUCCAUUAUUAAAAGUGGAGUGGUAAAGUCUCUAUUAUUGUAGAACUCUCUGUUUUUCAAGUCUAUCAAUAUCUGUUUCAUAUAUUUUGGAGCUCUGUUUGCUGCAUAUGUGUUUACAAUUGUUAUAUCUUCUUGGCAAAUUGACCAGUUUCAUCAACAUAAAAUAUAAUUCUUAUUGUCUUCUAACAGUUUAUUUUUCUUUUUACAUAAAGCCUAUUUUAUCUGAUCUUAGAUUCCCUCACACUCCACCCCAGCACGCUUUUGGUUACAUUUACAUAAUAUAUCUUUUCCAUCCUUUCAUUUUCAACCUGUUUGUGUCUUUAGAUCUAAAGUGAAUGUCUUACAGACAGCAUAAGCUAUGUCAUUAAAAAAAUCCAUUCUGCUUAUCUCUGCCUUUUGACUGGGGAGUUUAAUCCAUUUGCAUUUAAAGUAAUCACUGAUCAUUAAAUACUUUCAGUAUUUUGUUGUUUUAUGUAUGUCUUAUAACUCUUUUGCUCUUCAUUUCCUUCAAUAUUGCCUUUGUGUUUAGCUUAUCUUUUUGUGUCACACUUUGAUCCCCUUCUCAUUUCUUUUUUAUAUUUUCUUUGUGGUUACCAGGAGGACAAUGUAUCAACUUUUAAAGUUAUUACAAUUUUAUUUUUUUAAAUCUCUCCCAUUCGGGGAUUUUAGGAAGGUUAAAUAAUAAUGUAAAUGAGAUACCUAGAACAAUAUAAGCAUUCAGGAAUUAUUAACUCAAUUCCAAUCCUUCCUCCACCUCCACCUCUUUCUCUGUGAGAUUAUAGAAAAGAUGACAAAAAGGAUGUUUUCUGAGCCCUUUAAUUGUUGAGAAUGAUCUUUGAGAAAAAGAAAAAAAAUGAAAGCACUAGGAAUGUACAACAGCCUGGAAGUAUAAUUAAGUGUAAAUUAAAUAGAUAAAAGUUAUAAGCAGAGGAAAGUAUAGUAGAACUCAGUAUUUAAAAGAGAAUCAAUGUGAAAAUUAUAUAAAUUUAUGUAAAAUAAAACUACCAGACAAAUCUGAUAUCCUUAGGAUUUUUCUUUCUUUCAUGUGAUUUCUAAUUGCUACAUAUGACACUAAACCAUUGAUCUGAGCUGUAAGAGAAACUGGAAAUUGUUCUGUUAUCUUUUGUAAGAUUUCUAGAACAUUUUGCCCUCAGACUUAAAUGCCAACGUAUUUCUCACUUAUUGUUUACUGCUUUUGGAUUUACAUAUGAUUUGAUUCUUUCUUAUCUCUUAUCCUUACAAUGUAAUUCAAACUGAUGCCAAUUUAAGUUCAAUUGCGUACAAAAACUCUACUCCUAUGCAGCUCCGCCCCAUCUAAUUUACAUUAUUGAUGUCGCAAAUUCCAUCUUUGUACAUAGUUUACAUAUUAACAUGGAUUUAUACAUUUUUAUGUAUUUGGUUUUUAAAUCCUGUAGAAAAUAAAAAGUCAACACACCAAUAUUAAAAUAAUACUGGUUUUUAUAUUUGUCCAUGUGCUUACCUUUAUCAGUGUUCUUUACAUCUUUAUACGGGUUUGAGUUACUGUCUUGUGUCCUUUAGUUCCAACCUAAAGAACUCCCUUUAGCAUUUUUAUAGGGCAGGUCUAGUGGUAAUGAACUCUCUGAGUUUUUAUUUAGGGAUGUCUUAAUUUCUAGCUCCUGUUUGAAGUAAAUUUUUCUGGAUAUACAAUUCUCUGUUGAUUGAUUUUUGUUCAUUUUCCCUUCAGCUCUUUUAAAUACAUUAUCCCACUUUCUUCUGCCUUCCAAGGUUUCUAUUAACAAAAUUCAGCUUAUAAUCUUAUUAAAGAUCUCAUGUACAUGAGUGGCUUCUCUCUUGCUGUUUUCAAGAUUCUGUGACUUUGGUUUCUGAUAGUUUAAAUAUAAUGUGUCUUAUUGUGGGUCUCUUUGGAUUUAUCCUAGAGUUUCUUGGUCUUCUUACGUUGGUAUAUCCAUGUAUUUCAAGACAUUUGAGUAGUUUUCAGCCAUUAUUUCUUCAAACAAUCUCUCCUCUUUGGGGACUUCCAUUUUACCUAUAUUGGUUCUUUUGAUGGUGUGGCACCAGUCCCCUAGACUUUGUUCACUUUUUUCCAGUCUUUUAUUUCUGCUUCUCAGACUCAACAGCUUCAAGUGUUCUGUAUUCAAGUCUGCUGACUCUUUCUUCUUCCAGCUCAAAUCUGCUGUUGGAUCCCCCCUUGUAAAAUUUUUAAUUCCAUUUUAGUGUUUUUCAAGUUAAGUAUUUUUAUUAGGUUCCUUUUUAUAAUUUCUUUUUGUUGAUAUUCUCAUUUUAUUACACAUAAUUUGUCUGAUUUCCAUUAGUUUUUUUCUUUGUUUUCCUUUAGCUCUUUGAAAAUAUUUAAGACAUUUUAAAAGUCUUUAUCCAAGUUCAAUUUCUAUGGUUCUGUAGAGAUAUUUUCUGCCAGUUUAUGUUCUUCUUUUCCAUGGGCCAUGUUUUCCUGUUUCUUUGUAUACUUUCUAAUUUUUGGUUGAAAACUGAGCAUUUGAAAAUAGAGCCAACUUUCCCAGUUUCUGCAGAGAGUCUUUAUGCCACAGUAUUCGUUCACUGAUUAACUGGGUAUAUCUAAGCUUAGGGAGCAGCUGAGUCAAAAGUUUAAGGUCUUCUCAGGUCUUUUCUGAGUAUACAUGUUUCCUAUGCCUGUGUGAAAUGUUCUCAAUUUCCCUAUAUAAACAGCUACUUCUUCUUUUUUUUUUUUUUUUGAGAUGGAGUCUCGCUCUGUCACCCAGGCUGGAGUGCAGUCAUCUCAGCUCACUGCAUCCUCCACCUCCCAGGUUCAAACAAUUCUCCUAUACAGGUGUGUGCCACCACGUCUGGCCAAUUUUUGUAUUUUUAGUAGAGACAGGGUUUCGCCGUGUUGGCCAGGCUGGUCUCAAUCUCCUGACCUCAGGAGGAUUACAGGCUUGAGCCACAGUGUCCAGCCUAAACAGCUACUUUUGAAUGCUUUAAUUUCCUGAAUAGUCUCAACCCAGUUUUUCCUUGAGGUCUUAGGUGGUCCAUUGUAUGUCUCCACCCAUAGUUGCUUGCCCCAGGCAUCUGUGGGUCUGUGGUACCACUGCAGCUUUCACCACCUGUAGCUGCCACCUUUCCCUAUCUGAGAUCCAGGUUAGGUGAGAGAGAUCAUUCCUUCACGCAGUCCCAUGACAGGUUGGAACAUUUCAAAUAAGGUCUGUUCUGCUCCUCUGGUUGAAGGGAGAAAAUUGGGAACCGGUUUCCCACCUUCUACAAACCAAGAUCUCAUGUUGCCACGGGAGUGGCAGGGCAAGUGCAAGUGAAAAUGCCAUACAAUUUUCUACCAUUUUGAACGCGGGUUUUUCUUCAAUGGUCAUUUGCUUGGUUGCUGUAGGCCUUUCACUGUUUUCCAGAGCUCCCAUAAGAUUACUUUAGCCAGUUUUUUGUUCUUUCCUGAUGCUUCCCUGGCAGAGUAAGGGUUGGAACUUCCACCAUUUUGCUGAUUCAUAACUCUGUAGUCAGUUUUAAAUAUAUUGAUACUUGAGUUUGUUUUAUGGCCCAGAAUAUGGUCUUGGUAAAUGUUUCACAUAUACUCAGAAAGAAUGUGUAUUCUGAUGUUGUUACAUGGGCUGUUCUAUAAAUGUUACUUAAGGUGGUUAAUAAUGUUGCUCAAGUCUUCUAUAUUCUUGCUGAUUUUCUUUUAUUUAUUUAUUUUAUUUUUUUUAUUAUACUUUUAAGUUCUAGGGUACAUGUGCACAACAUGCAGGUUUGUUAUAUAUGUAUACAUGUGCCAUGUUGGUGUGCUGCAUCCAUUAACUCAUCAUUUACAUUAGGUAUAUCUCCUAAUGCUGUCCCUCCCUGCUCCCCCCACCCCAUGACAGGCCCCAGUGUGUGAUGUUCCCCUUUCCUGUGUCCAAGCGUUCUCAUUGUUCAAUUCCCACCUAUGAGUGAGAACUUGCGGUGUUUGUUUUUUUGUCCUUGUGAUAGUUUGCUGAGAAUGAUGGUUUCCAGCUUCAUCCAUGUCCCUACAAAGGACGUGAACUCAUCCUUUUUUAUGACUGCAUAGUAUUCCAUGGUGUAUAUGUGCUACAUUUUCUUAAUCCAGUCUAUCAUUGAUGGACAUUUGGGUUGGUUCCAAGUCUUUGCUAUUGUGAACAGUGCUGCAAUGAACAUACGUGUGCAUGUGUCUUUAUAGCAGCAUGAUUUAUAAUCCUUUGAGUAUAUACUCAGUAAUGGGAUGGGUGGGUCAAAUGGUAUUUCUAGUUCUAGAUCUUGAGGAAUCACCACACUGUCUUCCACAAUGGUUGAACUAGUUUACAGUCCCACCAACAGUGUAAAAGUGUUCCUAUUUCUUCACAUCCUCUCCAGCACCUGUUGUUUCCUGACUUUUUAAUGAUCGCCAUUCUAACUGGUGUGAGAUGGGAUCUCAUUGUGGUUUUGAUCUGCAUUUUUCUGAUGGCCAGUGAUGAUGAGCAUUUUUUCAUGUGUCUUUGGCUGCAUAAAUGUCUUCUUUUGAGAAGUGUCUGUUCAUAUCCUUUGCCCACUUUUUGAUGGGGUUGUUUUGUUCUUGUAUAUUUGUUUGAGUUCUUUGUAGAUUCUGGAUAUUAGCCCUUUGUCAGAUGAGGAGAUUGCAAAAAUUUUCUCCCAUUCUGUAGGUUGGCUGUUCACUCUGAUGGUAGUUUCUUUUGCUGUGCAGAAGCUCUUUAGUUUAAUGAGACCCCAUUUGUCAAUUUUGGCUUUUGUUGCCAUUGCUUUUGGUGUUUUAGACAUGAAGUCCUCGCCCAUGCCUAUGUCCUGAAUGGUAUUG
This 8084-nucleotide long non-coding RNA is filed under the name Homo sapiens (human). RNAcentral's name for it is "HSALNT0380168". Lineage: Eukaryota; Metazoa; Chordata; Mammalia; Primates; Hominidae. The record is from RNAcentral.